Molecule: long non-coding RNA, 1497 nt
Organism: Salvelinus fontinalis (brook trout)
Lineage: Eukaryota; Metazoa; Chordata; Actinopteri; Salmoniformes; Salmonidae
Exons: 2
Source: RefSeq, a predicted model, not a curated record
UGUAUUCAGCAUUUCACUGUAAGGUCUACUACACCUGUUGUAUUCAGCAUUUCACUGUGAGGUCUACUACACCUGUUGUAUUCAGCAUUUCACGGUAAGGUCUACUACACCUGUUGUAUUCAGCAUUUCACUGUGAGAACUACUACACCUGUUGUAUUCAGCAUUUCACUGUAAGGUCUACACCUGUUGUAUUCAGCAUUUCACUGUAAGGUCUACACCUGUUGUAUUCAGCAUUUCACUGUGAGGUCUACUACACCUGUUGUAUUCAGCAUUUCACUGUGAGGUCUACACCUGUUGUAUUCAGCAUUUCACUGUAAGGUCUACCUGUUGUAUUCAGCAUUUCACUGUAAGGUCUACUACACCUGUUGUAUUCAGCAUUUCACUGUAAGGUCUACUACACCUGUUGUAUUCAGCAUUUCACUGUAAGGUCUACUACACCUGUUGUAUUCAGCAUUUCACUGUGAGGUCUACUACACCUGUUGUAUUCAGCAUUUCACUGUAAGGUCUAGUACACCUGUUGUAUUCAGCAUUUCACUGUGAGGUCUACUACACCUGUUGUAUUCAGCAUUUCACUGUGAGGUCUACUACACCUGUUGUAUUCAGCAUUUCACUGUGAGGUCUACUACACCUGUUGUAUUCAGCAUUUCACUGUGAGGUGUACUACACCUGUUGUAUUCAGCAUUUCACUGUGAGGUGUACUACACCUGUUGUAUUCAGCAUUUCACUGUGAGGUCUACACCUGUUGUAUUCAGCAUUUCACUGUGAGGUCUACUACACCUGUUGUAUUCAGCAUUUCACUGUGAGGUCUACACCUGUUGUAUUCAGCAUUUCACUGUGAGGUCUACUACACCUGUUGUAUUCAGCAUUUCACUGUAAGGUCUACCUGUUGUAUUCAGCAUUUCACUGAGAGGUCUACUACACCUGUUGUAUUCAGCAUUUCACUGUGAGGUCUACUACACCUGUUGUAUUCAGCAUUUCACUGUAAGGUCUACCUGUUGUAUUCAGCAUUUCACUGAGAGGUCUACUACACCUGUUGUAUUCAGCAUUUCACUGUAAGGUCUACUACACCUGUUGUAUUCAGCAUUUCACUGUAAGGUCUACCUGUUGUAUUCAGCAUUUCACUGUGAGGUCUACUACACCUGUUGUAUUCAGCAUUUCACUGUAAGGUUUACUACACCUGUUGUAUUCAGCAUUUCACUGUGAGGUCUUCUACACCUGUUGUAUUCAGCAUUUCACUGUAAGGUCUACUACAACUGUUGUAUUCAGCAUUACACUGUGAGGUCUACUAUACCUGUUGUAUUUGGCGCAUGUGACAAAUACAAUUUGAUUUCAUUUAAACAAUUAAUUUAAGGGGAAUUAUCCAAAACGUUUAUUGCAAGACUACCUAGUAAAUUGGGAAUACUGCAGCCAAUGUUAAUUGGUGAUGUGUCCCAAAAUAAUUUAUAUUAUGAAAGUUUCUGACAGGAUUGUCCAUCAAAAUAAAGUUGUGUAAUGAAA